This 193-nucleotide ribosomal RNA is filed under the name uncultured Alistipes sp. Its description in RNAcentral is "partial 16S ribosomal RNA". It matches the Rfam family "Bacterial small subunit ribosomal RNA", at positions 334 to 524 of the family's 1533-position model. Lineage: Bacteria; Pseudomonadati; Bacteroidota; Bacteroidia; Bacteroidales; Rikenellaceae. The record is from RNAcentral.
UACUCCUACGGGAGGCAGCAGUGAGGAAUAUUGGUCAAUGGACGGAAGUCUGAACCAGCCAUGCCGCGUGCAGGAUGACGGCUCUAUGAGUUGUAAACUGCUUUUAUGCUAGGGUAAACUCGGGUACGUGUACCCGACUGAAAGUAUAGCAAGAAUAAGGAUCGGCUAACUCCGUGCCAGCAGCCGCGGUAAU